AGCGAACGCUGGCGGCAGGCUUAACACAUGCAAGUCGAGCGCUCGUAGCAAUACGAGAGCGGCAGACGGGAGAGUAACACGUGGGAACGUACCCUUCAGUUCGGAACAACCAAGGGAAACUUUGGCUAAUACCGAAUACGUCCGUAAGGAGAAGGAUUUAUCGCUGAAGGAUCGGCCCGCGUCUGAUUAGCUAGUUGGUGGGGUAAUGGCCCACCAAGGCGACGAUCAGUAGCUGGUCUGAGAGGAUGAUCAGCCUCACUGGGACUGAGACACGGCCCAGACUCCUACGGGAGGCUG
RNAcentral lists this ribosomal RNA (297 nucleotides) under uncultured Pseudomonadota bacterium. RNAcentral's name for it is "uncultured proteobacterium partial 16S ribosomal RNA". It matches the Rfam family "Bacterial small subunit ribosomal RNA", at positions 29 to 351 of the family's 1533-position model. The record is from RNAcentral. Lineage: Bacteria; Pseudomonadati; Pseudomonadota.